RNAcentral lists this ribosomal RNA (259 nucleotides) under uncultured archaeon. RNAcentral's name for it is "partial 16S ribosomal RNA". It matches the Rfam family "Archaeal small subunit ribosomal RNA", at positions 717 to 982 of the family's 1478-position model. The record is from RNAcentral.
AGUCACUGACAUUAGAUACCCGUGUAGUCCAGGGUGUAAACGCUGCAGACUUGGUGUUGGAAGUCCUUGGGGCAUUCAGUGCCGGAGAGAAGUUGUUAAGUCUGCUACUUGGGAGUACGUCCGCAAGGAUGAAACUUAAAGGAAUUGCGGGGAGCACAACAACGGGUGGAGCCUGCGGUUUAAUUGGACUCAACGCCGGACAACUCACCGGGACGACAGCAAUAUGUAGGCCAGGCUGAAGACCUUGCCUGAAUCGCUG